UGAGGAACAUGACCUUCGGCGGGGGGAUAGCCGGCCCAACGGCCGGGUAAUACCGCGUACGACCACAUGGGGACAUCCUCGAGUGGUGAAAGCAGCAAUGCGCCGAUGGAGUGCCUCGCGGCCUAUCAGCUAGUUGGUGAGGUAACGGCUCACCAAGGCGACGACGGGUAGCUGGUCUGAGAGGAUGGCCAGCCACAUUGGGACUGAGACACGGCCCAGACCUCGUAACGGGGAGG
RNAcentral lists this ribosomal RNA (236 nucleotides) under uncultured bacterium. RNAcentral's name for it is "partial 16S ribosomal RNA". It matches the Rfam family "Bacterial small subunit ribosomal RNA", at positions 118 to 347 of the family's 1533-position model. The record is from RNAcentral.